This 32-nucleotide small RNA is filed under the name Bombyx mori (domestic silkworm). RNAcentral's name for it is "ovarian small RNA-14761". Lineage: Eukaryota; Metazoa; Arthropoda; Insecta; Lepidoptera; Bombycidae. The record is from RNAcentral.
CUGAAAUACGAUAAAUGUCGGUCGUGUCGGAC